RNAcentral lists this ribosomal RNA (247 nucleotides) under uncultured Lactobacillus sp. RNAcentral's name for it is "partial 16S ribosomal RNA". It matches the Rfam family "Bacterial small subunit ribosomal RNA", at positions 116 to 359 of the family's 1533-position model. The record is from RNAcentral. Lineage: Bacteria; Bacillati; Bacillota; Bacilli; Lactobacillales; Lactobacillaceae.
CGUGGGUAACCUGCCCAAGAGAUCGGGAUAACACCUGGAAACAGAUGCUAAUACCGGAUAACAACAGAUGAUGCCUAUCAACUGUUUAAAAGAUGGUUCUGCUAUCACUCUUGGAUGGACCUGCGGUGCAUUAGCUAGUUGGUAGGGUAACGGCCUACCAAGGCGAUGAUGCAUAGCCGAGUUGAGAGACUGAUCGGCCACAUUGGGACUGAGACACGGCCCAAACUCCUACGGGAGGGCAGCAGGG